UUACAAAAGAAACAAUAAGAAAUCUUAAAGGAAUUGAAAGAAAAUCCACAAUAAAUCUUAAAAGAAUUCUUAAGAAGUCCUAAAAAAUAUUAAAAUAAUCACAAAUAUAUCUUUAAUAAAUUUCAAUCAAUUUCUAAUUUAAUCCUAAUUAAAAUCCUAAUGGACUUCAAUCAAACUCUAAACAAAUCCUAAAUCCUAAACCAAAUUUCAAAUCAAAUUUUAGAUAAAUCCUAAAUCCUAAAUUCUAAAUCAAAUCUUAAAUCUUAUAUCAAAUCUUAAAUCAAAUCUUAGAUUUUAAACCAAAUCCUAAAUCAAAUCCUAGAUCAAAUCUUAGAUCUUAAACCAAAUCCUAAAUCAAACCCUAAAUAAAUCCUAAAUCCAUAAUCAAAUCCUAAAUCAAAUCUUAGACAAAUCAUAAAUCCUAAACCAAAUCUUAGAUCAAAUCCUAGUUCCUAAAUCAAACCUUAAAUCAAACCGUAGAUAAAUCCUAAAUUCUAAACUAAACUUUAAACAAAUCUUAAAUCCUAAAUCAAAUCCUAAACUUAAUC
Molecule: long non-coding RNA, 548 nt
Filed under: Physcomitrium patens
Lineage: Eukaryota; Viridiplantae; Streptophyta; Bryopsida; Funariales; Funariaceae
Description: long non-coding RNA (PPAT_LNC010018)
Source: RNAcentral